CGUGUAGGUGGUCAGGUAAGUCAGAUGUGAAAGCCUUCUGCUUAACAGAAGAAGUGCAUUUGAAACUGCUUGGCUAGAGUACGGGAGAGGAGAGUGGAAUUCCCGGUGUAGAGGUGAAAUUCGUAGAUAUCGGGAGGAACACCAGUGGCGAAGGCGGCUCUCUGGUCCGAUACUGACGCUGAGACGCGAAAGCGUGGGGAGCAAACAGGAUUAGAUACCCUGGUAGUCCACGCCGUAAACGAUGGGCACUAGGUGUAGGAGGUAUUGACCCCUUCUGUGCCGAAGCUAACGCAUUAAGUGCCCCGCCUGGGGAGUACGGCCGCAAGGCUAGA
This 332-nucleotide ribosomal RNA is filed under the name uncultured bacterium. RNAcentral describes it as "bacterial SSU rRNA". It matches the Rfam family "Bacterial small subunit ribosomal RNA", at positions 568 to 898 of the family's 1533-position model. The record is from RNAcentral.